RNAcentral lists this long non-coding RNA (1563 nucleotides) under Pan troglodytes (chimpanzee). Its description in RNAcentral is "long non-coding RNA NONPTRT005768". The record is from RNAcentral. Lineage: Eukaryota; Metazoa; Chordata; Mammalia; Primates; Hominidae.
GCUAGAAACUAGGUUGAUUCAAAGUCUUUUGUGGACACUUCCUUUAAGAACAGUAUUGAUAGACUGCCUUUAUGCAAAUCCCUUUGGAAGAAAGGAUGGAGAGGAAGAAGCCGGAAACAGAUCAGAGGCAGGAAAUACCAAAUUGCAUGUUUAUAAACGCUGUGAAGGAAUAUGACAAGAGGGGAUAAUGCUAGACUGGCGGCCAUGGAAACUGAAGUCUUCUGUUUGUUCACAGGACAGCUCAUAGCCCUGAAAGUCCCAGUUCAAGCUUCCACAAUCAUCCUACACAAGAGCACUGCUUCUCACAGGACUGCCUCAGCCUGGCAGGAUUCAGUCUCCUGCUCUGAGGGAAAAACAGGAAGUCAAGGAUCAAGACCGCGUGCUCAACUGAGAUCAGAAAGGAGGACAUACAGUGACUUGGCCAAAUCACUGGAGAUUCACACAGCAGAGCUCAGACGAGUGCUAUCAGCACAGCUGAGGAAGACAAGAGUUAGGGUGCAAGGAUCCUGAAAGAGAAACAUUGGUUGUGUUUUUAUUCCUUGGGUAUAAGAAUCCUGAAACAGAAAGGCAUCUGAACCUUGGAGGCAUGGGGUUCAUCUCAUCCUCAUCCAGCCUUUCACCAGAAACGUGAGGAGACUCAUACCACUUGAGGUAGUGUGGAUGUGUGGCACAGUUUUGGAGAGGGCUAUUCCCCUACCUUUACAUGGAAUCCAGUAACUCUCUGAAAACAUAGCAAUGGCAAAAGUCCUUUUCGAGACUGCAAGGAAAACAAACAACUACCAAGAGAAGUCCAAGCAUCAGGGAAAGAAUGAAGUGGUGUGGAGACCGUAGCCAAUAGCUGCUUUAUGAGCACAUUUGUGGCUACCCUUGGGGACCCAAGAAAUAACCGGAAAGAGUCAAACUGUUCUUCGAAUAGUUUUUGGAUUGCCAACUGAGCUUUCUUUGAAAGCAAAGCUGUGUCAAUACAAGACCACCAGGCACGUGGAGUUUAUACAGGUGACCAUGAACUAUUUGUUGGAGUGCCAGAUUAUUUAAGGGCCUUUGCAUGUUUCAAGUCCUCUUCUUAAAGUAAGAAUACUCUCCACAUUUAUAAUAGCAACAAAAACACCAAUGUCAGCACAAAAUGCAAAAACGGAGGCACUUCUAUGUCAUAAUGAUACAUCAGAGUUCUGCUCAACUCUUUUUUAGAAAAAGAAGCUCAGACUUACACACAUCCACUUUCUUAAGUAAAUAAUUGUUCAAUGAAAGUUACCCGGGGAGGAUUGCUGUCUCCAGCUCCCAAGCACUGCUCAUCUGCUAACGGGGUGGACUCUGUGACUGUUACAGAAAUUGCUCUUAAAUGCAUAAAACACAGAAGAGAAUUUUUGGAAAAUCCCUUAUUAUUCAUUAAAGCAUUUUAGGGCCUCAUUAAUCCAGAUGGGUUAAUCGGUUGUUGAUUUGCCAGGUUGUUAAGCAUCCAUUGUCAGAUGCUGAUGGGGUGUGAGAAAAUAUAAUUCCGAUCUACCAAAGAGUCACCUGAAUGAGGCUAGCACUUCAUCAGGGAAGGCUGUAUCUUCCUCAGGG